Molecule: RNase P RNA, 353 nt
Filed under: Methylovulum sp.
Lineage: Bacteria; Pseudomonadati; Pseudomonadota; Gammaproteobacteria; Methylococcales; Methylococcaceae
Description: RNase P RNA component class A
Rfam family: Bacterial RNase P class A
About the family: Ribonuclease P (RNase P) is a ubiquitous endoribonuclease, found in archaea, bacteria and eukarya as well as chloroplasts and mitochondria. Its best characterised activity is the generation of mature 5'-ends of tRNAs by cleaving the 5'-leader elements of precursor-tRNAs. Cellular RNase Ps are ribonucleoproteins.
Source: RNAcentral
AGAGUUGGCUGAGCAGUCGCUGUUUUAUCAUGACGAUAAAAUGGAGGAAAGUCCGGGCUCCAUUGGGCAGGGUGCCAGGUAACGCCUGGGGGGCGCGAGCCUACGGAAAGUGCCGCAGAAAAUAUACCGCCGGGCACCAUGGUGUCAGGUAAGGGUGAAAAGGUGCGGUAAGAGCGCACCGCGCAACUGGUAACAGAAGUGGCAUGGUAAACCCCACCCGGAGCAAGAUCAAAUAGAGGAACAGACGCGUGGCCCGCGCGGUUCCUGGGUAGAUUGCUUGAGCUGCAGGGUGACUUGCAGCCUAGAUGAAUGUCUGUUCUCGACAGAACCCGGCUUACAGGCCAACUCUUUCU